This 411-nucleotide unclassified non-coding RNA is filed under the name fungal sp. Its description in RNAcentral is "partial internal transcribed spacer region". The stretch from base 1 to 46 matches the Rfam family "Eukaryotic small subunit ribosomal RNA", at positions 1786 to 1831 of the family's 1831-position model. The record is from RNAcentral. Lineage: Eukaryota; Fungi.
AAGUCGUAACAAGGUUUCCGUAGGUGAACCUGCGGAAGGAUCAUUUCCAAAAAAAACAAUACCAACAUACUGUGUGAAAAUGUAGAUACCCAAUUUUUUUACUCUCUUUCUUUUUUCUCUUUUCUUUUUUUUUUUUAGAAGAAGGGGAUUUUCCUUAUACUUUUUAUUUCAAGUAUUGUCACAUGUGUUAUGGAUUUCCAUAAUACACCUCUGACUUUAUAUGAAAAAAAGAGAUCAAUAUAAGAAUUUCCACCAAAACCUUUUUUUAAAAAAAGAAUUAUACAAAAUUGAAAAAGGGGGAGAGGCCUUGUUGAACUACCUUACUUUAAAAGGUUGAUGAUUUACUUUUUUUUAAAAAAAAAACAAAAAAAAUUGAUCAGAUAACUUUUAACGGUGGAUCUCUUGGCUCGU